GAUGAACGCUGGCGGCGUGCCUAAUACAUGCAAGUCGAGCGAACAGACGAGGAGCUUGCUCCUCUGACGUUAGCGGCGGACGGGUGAGUAACACGUGGAUAACCUACCUAUAAGACUGGGAUAACUUCGGGAAACCGGAGCUAAUACCGGAUAAUAUAUUGAACCGCAUGGUUCAAUAGUGAAAGACGGUUUUGCUGUCACUUAUAGAUGGAUCCGCGCCGCAUUAGCUAGUUGGUAAGGUAACGGCUUACCAAGGCAACGAUGCGUAGCCGACCGGAGAGGGUGAUAGGCCACACUGGAACUGAGACACGGUCCAGACUCCUACGGGAGGCAGCAGUAGGGAAUCUUCCGCAAUGGGCGAAAGCCUGACGGAGCAACGCCGCGUGAGUGAUGACGGUCUUCGGAUCGUAAAACUCUGUUAUUAGGGAAGAACAAAUGUGUAAGUAACUAUGCACGUCUUGACGGUACCUAAUCAGAAAGCCACGGCUAACUACGUG
Molecule: ribosomal RNA, 497 nt
Filed under: uncultured bacterium
Lineage: Bacteria
Description: partial 16S ribosomal RNA
Rfam family: Bacterial small subunit ribosomal RNA
Source: RNAcentral